GGGGCCGUAGCUCAGUUGGGAGAGCGCUAGAAUCGCACUCUAGAGGUCACGGGUUCGACUCCCGUCGGCUCCACCA
This 76-nucleotide transfer RNA is filed under the name Candidatus Poribacteria bacterium. RNAcentral describes it as "tRNA-Ala". It matches the Rfam family "tRNA". Rfam says of the family: Transfer RNA (tRNA) molecules are approximately 80 nucleotides in length. Lineage: Bacteria; Candidatus Poribacteria. The record is from RNAcentral.